UGGGGAAUUUUGGACAAUGGGGGCAACCCUGAUCCAGCCAUCCCGCGUGUGCGAUGAAGGCCUUCGGGUUGUAAAGCACUUUUGGCAGGGAAGAAACAGCCUGGGAUAAUACCCCGGGCGACUGACGGUACCUGCAGAAUAAGCACCGGCUAACUACGUGCCAGCAGCCGCGGUAAUACGUAGGGUGCAAGCGUUAAUCGGAAUUACUGGGCGUAAAGCGUGCGCAGACGGUUCGGAAAGAAAGGUGUGAAAUCCCAGGGCUUAACCUUGGAACUGCACUUUAACUACCGAGCUAGAGUACGUCAGAGGGGGGUAGAAUUCCACGUGUAGCAGUGAAAUGCGUAGAGAUGUGGAGGAAUACCGAUGGCGAAGGCAGCCCCCUGGGAUGAUACUGACGCUCAUGCACGAAAGCGUGGGGAGCAAACAGGAUUAGAUACCCUGGUAGUCCACGCCCUAAACGAUGUCAACUAGCUGUUGGGGUUUAUUAACCUUAGUAACGUAGCUAACGCGUGAAGUUGACCGCCUGGGGGAGUACGGUCGCAA
Molecule: ribosomal RNA, 543 nt
Filed under: uncultured bacterium
Lineage: Bacteria
Description: partial 16S ribosomal RNA
Rfam family: Bacterial small subunit ribosomal RNA
Source: RNAcentral